RNAcentral lists this small RNA (255 nucleotides) under Mus spretus (western wild mouse). RNAcentral describes it as "sRNA (ENSMSPG00010045682.1)". The record is from RNAcentral. Lineage: Eukaryota; Metazoa; Chordata; Mammalia; Rodentia; Muridae.
GCCGGGCGUGGUGGUGCACGCCUUUAAUCCCAGCACUUGGGAGGCAGAGGUAGGUGGAUUUCUGAGUUCGAGGCCAGCCUGGUCUACAAAGUGAGUUCCAGGACAGCCAGGGCUAUACAGAGAAACAGAGAAACCCUGUCUCAAAAAAAACCAAAAAAAAAAAAAAGACAGGAUCUUACUUUGUAGCCUUGUCUGGCCUAGAACUCAGUAUGUAGACCAGGCUGGCCCCGAACUCACAGAGAUCUGCUUGCUUCU